UACGUAGGGUGCGAGCGUUAAUCGGAAUUACUGGGCGUAAAGCGUGCGCAGGCGGCUUGCCAAGUCAGAUGUGAAAGCCCCGGGCUCAACCCGGGAACUGCGUUUGAAACUGGCAGGCUAGAGUUUGGCAGAGGGGGGUGGAAUUCCACGUGUAGCAGGUGAAAUGCGUAGAGAUGUGGAGGAACACCGAUGGCGAAGGCAGCCCCCUGGGCCAAAACUGACGCUCAGGCACGAAAGCGUGGGGAGCAAACAGG
RNAcentral lists this ribosomal RNA (254 nucleotides) under uncultured bacterium. RNAcentral describes it as "partial 16S ribosomal RNA". It matches the Rfam family "Bacterial small subunit ribosomal RNA", at positions 524 to 776 of the family's 1533-position model. The record is from RNAcentral.